UCUCUCCCUCUCUGCUGCCCCCUCCCCCCGCUUCUGUUCUUCCGGCUCCGCUCCCUUCCCUCCCAUGAACCUCUUCACAGCCCGCUUUUAUUGAUCCGGCGACCCCAUGGUGUGUUUAAGAGCUUCGGUGGCGCUAUCGUCAAAGCAAGCGCCUUUCACCUCUGAUAUUGUGGAUAUAGAUCCAUGUCUCGCUGUUCAUCAAUUGACCAUUUGCAUUAUAGACUAAAUUUUGAUCUCAACAAAA
This is a non-coding RNA of Paramuricea clavata, 244 nucleotides long. NCBI's taxonomy places the organism in Eukaryota, Metazoa, Cnidaria, Anthozoa, Malacalcyonacea, Plexauridae. The record is from the annotation of a GenBank genome assembly.